RNAcentral lists this ribosomal RNA (1241 nucleotides) under Bacillus sp. (in: firmicutes). RNAcentral's name for it is "bacterial SSU rRNA". It matches the Rfam family "Bacterial small subunit ribosomal RNA", at positions 108 to 1334 of the family's 1533-position model. Lineage: Bacteria; Bacillati; Bacillota; Bacilli; Caryophanales; Bacillaceae. The record is from RNAcentral.
GAGUAACACGUGGGUAACCUGCCUGUAAGACUGGGAUAACUCCGGGAAACCGGGGCUAAUACCGGAUGCUUGAUUGAACCGCAUGGUUCAAUCAUAAAAGGUGGCUUUUAGCUACCACUUACAGAUGGACCCGCGGCGCAUUAGCUAGUUGGUGAGGUAACGGCUCACCAAGGCGACGAUGCGUAGCCGACCUGARAGGGUGAUCGGCCACACUGGGACUGAGACACGGCCCAGACUCCUACGGGAGGCAGCAGUAGGGAAUCUUCCGCAAUGGACGAAAGUCUGACGGAGCAACGCCGCGUGAGUGAUGAAGGUUUUCGGAUCGUAAAACUCUGUUGUUAGGGAAGAACAAGUACCGUUCGAAUAGGGCGGUACCUUGACGGUACCUAACCAGAAAGCCACGGCUAACUACGUGCCAGCAGCCGCGGUAAUACGUAGGUGGCAAGCGUUGUCCGGAAUUAUUGGGCGUAAAGCGCGCGCAGGCGGUUUCUUAAGUCUGAUGUGAAAGCCCCCGGCUCAACCGGGGAGGGUCAUUGGAAACUGGGGAACUUGAGUGCAGAAGAGGAGAGUGGAAUUCCACGUGUAGCGGUGAAAUGCGUAGAGAUGUGGAGGAACACCAGUGGCGAAGGCGACUCUCUGGUCUGUAACUGACGCUGAGGCGCGAAAGCGUGGGGAGCGAACAGGAUUAGAUACCCUGGUAGUCCACGCCGUAAACGAUGAGUGCUAAGUGUUAGAGGGUUUCCGCCCUUUAGUGCUGCAGCAAACGCAUUAAGCACUCCGCCUGGGGAGUACGGUCGCAAGACUGAAACUCAAAGGAAUUGACGGGGGCCCGCACAAGCGGUGGAGCAUGUGGUUUAAUUCGAAGCAACGCGAAGAACCUUACCAGGUCUUGACAUCCUCUGACAACCCUAGAGAUAGGGCUUCCCCUUCGGGGGCAGAGUGACAGGUGGUGCAUGGUUGUCGUCAGCUCGUGUCGUGAGAUGUUGGGUUAAGUCCCGCAACGAGCGCAACCCUUGAUCUUAGUUGCCAGCAUUCAGUUGGGCACUCUAAGGUGACUGCCGGUGACAAACCGGAGGAAGGUGGGGAUGACGUCAAAUCAUCAUGCCCCUUAUGACCUGGGCUACACACGUGCUACAAUGGGCAGAACAAAGGGCAGCGAAGCCGCGAGGCUAAGCCAAUCCCACAAAUCUGUUCUCAGUUCGGAUCGCAGUCUGCAACUCGACUGCGUGAAGCGGGAAUCG